This 406-nucleotide ribosomal RNA is filed under the name uncultured bacterium. Its description in RNAcentral is "partial 16S ribosomal RNA". It matches the Rfam family "Bacterial small subunit ribosomal RNA", at positions 30 to 526 of the family's 1533-position model. The record is from RNAcentral.
AUUGAACGCUGGCGGCAGGCUUAACACAUGCAAGUCGAACGAGUGGCGAACGGGUGAUUAAUGUCUGGGAAACUGCCUGAUGGAGGGGGAUAACUACUGGAAACGGUAGCUAAUACCGCAUACCAUCGGAUGUGCCCAUAUGGGAUUAGCUAGUAGGUGGGGUAAAGGCUCACCUAGGCGACGAUCCCUAGCUGGUCCGGGAGGAUGACCAGCCACACUGGAACUGAGACACGGUCCAGACUCCAACGGGAGGCAGCAGUGGGGAAUAUUGCACAAGGGGGGAAAGCCGGAUGCAGCCAUGCCGCGUGUAUGAAGAAGGCCUUCGGUUUGUAAAGUACUUUAAGCGGGGAGGCGGUACCCGCAGAAGAAGCAACGGCUAACUCCGUGCCAGCAGCCGCGGUAAUUC